RNAcentral lists this ribosomal RNA (391 nucleotides) under Pseudacanthotermes spiniger. Its description in RNAcentral is "partial 16S ribosomal RNA". Lineage: Eukaryota; Metazoa; Arthropoda; Insecta; Blattodea; Termitidae. The record is from RNAcentral.
CUUUUCUUGUUAGUUUUUGAAGUAUGGCCUGCCCGCUGAUGGGUUAAUUUAGUUGAAGGGCCGCGGUAUUUUGACCGUGCAAAGGUAGCAUAGUCAUUAGUUCUUUAAUUGUGAUCUGGUAUGAAUGGCUUGACGAGAUGUGAGCUGUCUUGGUGUUGAAUUGUUUAUUGAAUUUGGUUUUUGAGUUAAAAUUCUUAGAUGUAUUUAUGGGACGAGAAGACCCUAUAGAGUUUGACAGUUUUGUGUGUUAUUUAUUUGUUUGUUUUUGUGUUUUGCAUAGUUUACUGUUUUGUUGGGGUGAUGGGAGGAAUUUUCUUAACUCCUCUUUUUUGUGGUAUAUUGAUUUAUAUUUAUUUUGAUCCAUUUAUUUUGAUUAUAAGGUUAAAUUACC